ACCGCCUGGGGAGUACGGCCGCAAGGUUAAAACUCAAAUGAAUUGACGGGGGCCCGCACAAGCGGUGGAGCAUGUGGUUUAAUUCGAUGCAACGCGAAGAACCUUACCUACUCUUGACAUCCAGAGAACUUUCCAGAGAUGGAUUGGUGCCUUCGGGAACUCUGAGACAGGUGCUGCAUGGCUGUCGUCAGCUCGUGUUGUGAAAUGUUGGGUUAAGUCCCGCAACGAGCGCAACCCUUAUCCUUUGUUGCCAGCGGUUCGGNCGGGAACUCAAAGGAGACUGCCNGUGAUAAACNGGAGGAAGGUGGGGAUGACGUCAAGUCAUCAUGGCCCUUACGAGUAGGGCUACACACGUGCUACAAUGGCGUAUACAAAGAGAAGCGACCUCGCGAGAGCAAGCGGACCUCAUAAAGUACGUCGUAGUCCGGAUUGGAGUCUGCAACUCGACUCCAUGAAGUCGGAAUCGCUAGUAAUCGUAGAUCAGAAUGCUACGGUGAAUACGUUCCCGGGCCUUGUACACACCGCCCGUCACACCAUGGGAGUGGGUUGCAAAAGAAGUAGGUAGCUUAACCUUCGGGAGGGCGC
This 585-nucleotide ribosomal RNA is filed under the name Serratia sp. 1C2. RNAcentral's name for it is "bacterial SSU rRNA". It matches the Rfam family "Bacterial small subunit ribosomal RNA", at positions 868 to 1453 of the family's 1533-position model. Lineage: Bacteria; Pseudomonadati; Pseudomonadota; Gammaproteobacteria; Enterobacterales; Yersiniaceae. The record is from RNAcentral.